UACGAAGGGGGCUAGCGUUGUUCGGAUUAACUGGGCGUAAAGGGUGCGUAGGCGGGUUUUUAAGUCAGGGGUGAAAUCCCGAGGCUCAACUUCGGAACUGCCUUUGAUACUGGAAAUCUUGAGUCUGGGAGAGGUGAGUGGAACUGCGAGUGUAGAGGUGAAAUUCGUAGAUAUUCGCAAGAACACCGGUGGCGAAGGCGGCUCACUGGCCCGGAACUGACGCUGAGGCACGAAAGCGUGGGGAGCAAACAGG
RNAcentral lists this ribosomal RNA (253 nucleotides) under uncultured bacterium. RNAcentral describes it as "partial 16S ribosomal RNA". It matches the Rfam family "Bacterial small subunit ribosomal RNA", at positions 524 to 776 of the family's 1533-position model. The record is from RNAcentral.